UGUUAACCGAAAGGUUGGUGGUUC
Molecule: non-coding RNA, 24 nt
Filed under: Drosophila melanogaster (fruit fly)
Lineage: Eukaryota; Metazoa; Arthropoda; Insecta; Diptera; Drosophilidae
Also listed under: 2 other names
Source: RNAcentral